AACUUUCGGCAACGGAUCUCUUGGUUCUGGCAUCGAUGAAGAACGCAGAGAGAUGCGAUAAGUAAUGUGAAUUGCAGAAUUCAGUGAAUCAUCGAAUCUUUGAACGCACAUUGCGCCCCGUGGUAUUCCGCGGGGCAUGCCUGUUCGAGCGUCAUUAUGACCAAUCCCGUUCUGCGGGGUCUUGGGCACCGCCUCCGGGCGGGCCUCAAAACCAGUGGCGGUCCGGCCGGGCUCUGAGCGUAGUAAAUCUUCUCGCUAUAGGGUCCCGGGCGGCACUGGCCAGCAACCCCCAAUCUUUCACAGGUUGACCUCGGAUCAGGUAGGGAUACCCGCUGAACUUAAGCAUAUCAAUAAGCGGAGGCU
RNAcentral lists this unclassified non-coding RNA (363 nucleotides) under uncultured Cudoniella. RNAcentral's name for it is "sequence contains ITS2". The stretch from base 1 to 154 matches the Rfam family "5.8S ribosomal RNA". Lineage: Eukaryota; Fungi; Ascomycota; Leotiomycetes; Helotiales; Helotiaceae. The record is from RNAcentral.